Molecule: ribosomal RNA, 1416 nt
Filed under: Iodobacter fluviatilis
Lineage: Bacteria; Pseudomonadati; Pseudomonadota; Betaproteobacteria; Neisseriales; Chitinibacteraceae
Description: bacterial SSU rRNA
Rfam family: Bacterial small subunit ribosomal RNA
Source: RNAcentral
AGUAAUAUAUCGGAACGUACCUAGUAAUGGGGGAUAACUAUCCGAAAGGAUAGCUAAUACCGCAUACGCCCUGAGGGGGAAAGAGGGGAUCGCAAGACCUCUCGUUAUUAGAGCGGCCGAUAUCAGAUUAGCUAGUUGGUGAGGUAAAGGCUCACCAAGGCAACGAUCUGUAGCGGGUCUUAGAGGACGAUCCGCCACACUGGAACUGAGACACGGUCCAGACUCCUACGGGAGGCAGCAGUGGGGAAUCUUGGACAAUGGGCGCAAGCCUGAUCCAGCAAUGCCGCGUGCGUGAAGAAGGCCUUCGGGUUGUAAAGCGCUUUGUUCGGGAGGAAAUCCUAGUGGCUAAUAUCCAUGGGGAUGACAGUACCGGAAGAAUAAGGACCGGCUAACUACGUGCCAGCAGCCGCGGUAAUACGUAGGGUCCAAGCGUUAAUCGGAAUUACUGGGCGUAAAGGGUGCGCAGGUGGUUGAUUAAGUGUGAUGUGAAAGCCCCGGGCUCAACCUGGGAAUUGCAUUGCAAACUGGUCAACUAGAGUAUGGCAGAGGGGGGUGGAAUUCCGCGUGUAGCAGUGAAAUGCGUAGAGAUGCGGAGGAACACCGAUGGCGAAGGCAACCCCCUGGGCUAAUACUGACACUCAUGCACGAAAGCGUGGGGAGCAAACAGGAUUAGAUACCCUGGUAGUCCACGCCCUAAACGAUGUCUACUAGUUGUUGGGGAAUUCGUUCCUUAGUAACGCAGCUAACGCGUGAAGUAGACCGCCUGGGGAGUACGGCCGCAAGGCUAAAACUCAAAGGAUUGACGGGGGCCCGCACAAGCGGUGGAUGAUGUGGAUUAAUUCGAUGCAACGCGAAAAACCUUACCUAGCCUUGACAUGUCAAGAAUCCCUGAAGAUUGGGGAGUGCCGCAAGGAACUUGAACACAGGUGCUGCAUGGCUGUCGUCAGCUCGUGUCGUGAGAUGUUGGGUUUAAGUCCCGCAACGAGCGCAACCCUUGUCCUUAGUUGCUACCAUUUAGUUGGGCACUUUAAGGAGACUGCCGGUGACAAACCGGAGGAAGGUGGGGAUGACGUCAAGUCCUCAUGGCCCUUAUGGCUAGGGCUUCACACGUCAUACAAUGGUCGGUACAGAGGGUUGCCAAGCCGCGAGGUGGAGCUAAUCUCAUAAAACCGAUCGUAGUCCGGAUUGGAGUCUGCAACUCGACUCCAUGAAGUCGGAAUCGCUAGUAAUCGCGGAUCAGCAUGUCGCGGUGAAUACGUUCCCGGGCCUUGUACACACCGCCCGUCACACCAUGGGAAUGGGUUUCACCAGAAGUAGGUAGGCUAACCGUAAGGAGGCCGCUUACCACGGUGGGAUUCAUGACUGGGGUGAAGUCGUAACAAGGUAGCCGUAGGGGAACCUGCGGCUGGAUCACCU